RNAcentral lists this ribosomal RNA (449 nucleotides) under uncultured bacterium. RNAcentral describes it as "partial 16S ribosomal RNA". It matches the Rfam family "Bacterial small subunit ribosomal RNA", at positions 354 to 796 of the family's 1533-position model. The record is from RNAcentral.
GUGGGGAAUUUGGACAAUGGGCGCAAGCCUGAUCCAGCCAUUCCGCGUGCAGGAUGAAGGCCUUCGGGUUGUAAACUGCUUUUGUACGGAACGAAAAGCCUCUGGUUAAUACCCGGGGGUCAUGACGGUACCGUAAGAAUAAGCACCGGCUAACUACGUGCCAGCAGCCGCGGUAAUACGUAGGGUGCGAGCGUUAAUCGGAAUUACUGGGCGUAAAGCGUGCGCAGGCGGUGAUGUAAGACAGUUGUGAAAUCCCCGGGCUCAACCUGGGAACUGCAUCUGUGACUGCAUUGCUGGAGUGCGGCAGAGGGGGAUGGAAUUCCGCGUGUAGCAGUGAAAUGCGUAGAUAUGCGGAGGAACACCGAUGGCGAAGGCAAUCCCCUGGGCCUGCACUGACGCUCAUGCACGAAAGCGUGGGGAGCAAACAGGAUUAGAAACCCUGGUAGUCC